UACGGAGGAUCCGAGCGUUAUCCGGAUUUAUUGGGUUUAAAGGGUGCGCAGGCGGGAGAUUAAGUCGGCGGUGAAAUUUUGCAGCUCAACUGUAAAAGUGCCUUCGAAACUGGUUUCCUUGAGUGUAGAUGAAGUAGGCGGAAUUUGUGGUGUAGCGGUGAAAUGCAUAGAUAUCACGAGGAACUCCGAUUGCGCAGGCAGCUUACUAAACUACUACUGACGUUCAGGCACGAAGGCGUGGGGAUCAAACAGGAUUAGAUACCCUGGUAGU
This 271-nucleotide ribosomal RNA is filed under the name uncultured prokaryote. RNAcentral's name for it is "partial 16S ribosomal RNA". It matches the Rfam family "Bacterial small subunit ribosomal RNA", at positions 524 to 794 of the family's 1533-position model. The record is from RNAcentral.